GAUGAACGCUGGCGGCGUGCCUAAUACAUGCAAGUCGAGCGAACGGACGAGAAGCUUGCUUCUCUGAUGUUAGCGGCGGACGGGUGAGUAACACGUGGAUAACCUACCUAUAAGACUGGGAUAAUUUCGGGAAACCGGCGCUAAUACCGGAUAUAUUUUGAACCGCAUGGUUCAAAAGUGAAAGACGGUCUUGCUGUCACUUAUAGAUGGAUCCGCGCUGCAUUAGCUAGUUGGUAAGGUAACGGCUUACCAAGGCAACGAUGCAUAGCCGACCUGAGAGGGGGGUCGGCCACACUGGAACUGGGACGCGGUCCAGACGCCUACGGGAGGGAGCAGUAUGGAAUCUUCCGCAAUGGUCGAAAGCCUGACGGAGCAACGCCGCGUGAGUGAUGAAGGUCUUCGGAUCGUAAAACUCUGUUAUUAGGUAAGAACAUAUGUGUAAGUAACUGUGCACAGCUUGACGGUACCUGAUCAGAAAGCCACGGCUAACUACAUG
RNAcentral lists this ribosomal RNA (496 nucleotides) under uncultured bacterium. RNAcentral's name for it is "partial 16S ribosomal RNA". It matches the Rfam family "Bacterial small subunit ribosomal RNA", at positions 28 to 507 of the family's 1533-position model. The record is from RNAcentral.